This is a long non-coding RNA of Bubalus bubalis (water buffalo), 1067 nucleotides long. RefSeq lists it as uncharacterized. NCBI's taxonomy places the organism in Eukaryota, Metazoa, Chordata, Mammalia, Artiodactyla, Bovidae. The transcript is spliced from 3 exons. The record is from RefSeq and is a predicted model, not a curated record.
CAGCCCCAGGGUCCCUGAGAUUCUGUCUUCCUAUCUCAUCUCUUGCUGGUUUCCUCAAAACAGUUCUCUCUGUUCUUUUUCUCUAGAAAUGCUUUGAAGAUUCUGAGUCUCCAUCACCCAGGAGGAAUGCCCCCCAGGGGCCCGUGACUCCAGAACACCUACGACCCCAGGGGGGCUGGGAGGAGGACCGUUCUGAGACCCUGAAAGAAGCCGUGGAUGCUGCCCCAGAGGAAGGCCAACCUCGGGGCUCCAGAGCAAUUAAGCCAACCCCAACGUCCUGGCUCCAGGAAGCCGCGAGGCUCCGAGUUUACUGCCGUUUCCUUUCCCUGGGCUGCUCCAGCUCCAUUCUGGCCGAUCGGUGCCACCGAGGGGCUCCCGAGAGCCAGCGUGGGCUGGGGCGGGGGCACCAGCGGCCGCGGGUACAUGUGGCUUCCAGGCCGCGGGCCGAGGCACUGAUGUGUGGUAUAAUCGAAAACAUCCCGCAGUAAUUUAAUAGUUCCCACCAAGCACAGACACGAAGUCUAGCAGCCCUUCCCUCCACACGCUGAGCCCUGGGAGGCGGGGGGAGGGGGGACGCCAGCAGAAACGGGAAAUCCAUCUGCAGGGCCGCUGCCCAGGGACUUUCAUGCUUCUCUUUGGGUUUGGCUCUGAUGUUACAGAGAAAGAUGUGCACUCAGGAAACAUGCAGGAAGCAGGGGUUUGCAUUAAAUGUCUUGUCCAGCCCUGGCAGGGGUCGGGGAUGGUGGGGCGCGAGGACCCUCACACACUGGGCAGGCUGGGACACCUCUGAAAGAACAGAAAGCAACAUUGGUCAACACGGUGACCAGUGGGUGCCCUUUGUGAAGAGCGCUUGAAUCCCACGUGGAGGGGAUGCCCAGGGAGGGAGCUGACUGAAGACAUUCUGAGUCCACGUCCCCCCCACCCCCCACCCUGAGAACCAUCAGUGGGGAGAUCCCCGGGCACCCCCUCCUGCGAGUGGAUUUGUGACCAGGCAGGUAACAAAAGUGGAAGCACGAGCUUGGGAAGAAAUCUGUCUUCCAGUCAGAAGUUUUCUUUUUCAAUCACAA